UUCCCUUUUAUUAUUAUUUUUUAUAAAAUGUUGAUACCUGCUUAAUUUUUACCAUUACAUAAUGUUGAGUUGCAUUACUUUUUUGUUAGAAAACUAAGAACUCAUAAAUCAAUUGGGGGAGGAAACCAAGAAGAUUAACAGGAAUAUAGAACUAACAAAGUAAUUUAAUCGAAUAUAUAUUAUAUAAUCAUAUCUCAAACAAAUGAAUGAAUCAACAAAUCAUAUACUCUAUAUGUUACUACAACUCUAUACUCGAUUAUAGUAUUUCUAAGGUCUAAACCAAAGUGGAACAUGAAGAUGUAGCAGGAUCAUAUAGAGCAGGAACCAAGUAUUUCCUUCCAUUUGUACCAUGUGCAUUGUAGCUUGCACCUGUAGUCUUGUCAACCAAUAAAUCACCAGCAUAGCCUGGGUAAGCGCCCUUGGCGUAGACACCAGGGCAAGCAGAUGCAGCUUCUAAUGGCGCAUCUGCUUCGCCCUGAUAGUAGCCGUUUCCAAAUGGGUUCGUUGCCGUUCCAGCUAAUAAGCUAGCUAAGUUGAUCACCAUACCAUCAACACCCACAUCGUUGUUUGGUGCACCCAAUGGUGCGCUCUGUGGUCCGUAAAUGGGUUGGUGGAAUGGCCAGGCACAGUAGCCAGGACACAGAGUCUCUGAGUUACCAACCCAAAUAUAAGCAAAUUUGUAAGUCUUGCCAUUAAUAACAGCACCUUUAGAAGCACCAUGAGUUCCACACCGAUUGACACAGAACCCAUCAACAGCAACAUCAGAGGCGGUCAAAACAACGUUAAUGGCGUCUUUCUGUGCACCUUUUGAUGCUAAUUGCACGAUUUGCUUCUGGGUCAGUGAUUUUCCUAGGGAAUAGUUUUCGAUGAGAACUUGUUUCCCCAAAGAGAGGGAAAGGGCGUUCUUAGAAUUAGCGAGAUGGUAGUAUUUUUCAGUGAUUUUCCACCAUUGUGCUACUGAAGGAUUGGUUUUAGAUGGAAUUGAAGAAGAAAGGGAGGUGAUGAAAUCAGAUACAAUAGCUCUUUGGGAUGGCUUGAAUUUUCCAUACCAAAUCAAAUUUACUGAUAUUUUGCCAGAAAGAAGUGCACCCUUGUGGUACUUCAGGAGCUGCAUUUGUGGGUCUUGGACUAAAGCAGUGAUCUUUCUUGAAGCAAAACACACAUUGAGGAAAGACAUCAACACAAAAAGUGAUAAAAUGAAAUGGGUCGAAUUGGAACCGAGUAGAGACAUUUUUUUAAUGGUGAGAAAUAAAAGAGUUUAGGAAUUAUGUUAGGAUAGAAUGUAGGAAAAGAGAGGCAGAAGAAUGAAUAUAUAAGGGAAUGAAGGGUGUAAUUAUUGGGAAGGUGCUGAGAAAGAAGGUUACAGUGACUUUAACUAAAAACGCGUUGGCAAUUAAAUUAAGUGGAGCUAGCUAGCUGCAAGUGCAACACAUGCAUAAGGAGGAAUAGGAAAAAACUUAACUGCCAACUUUUAAGUAGCAGUUACUACUACAGGCUACAGCGGCUCAACUAUUCACAUCACUAUUCCAAUUGACUUUAUUGAUCAUUCAUUAAUGUUUAAUUGAUAUUUUAAUUGUUAUAAUUGGGCAAAACAGAGUAAUGAAGUUCACAUACCAACUUGUUUCAAAAGAAAGCUAAAUCCCCCUCCCUCAACUAAACCUAUUACCAAUUGCAACCUUAUUUUUCCUCCUCAUACAUGCUAGUAGCCUAGUAUUGGGUACGUAAAUUCUACGCCUCUUUACUCAGAGCGUCAUAUCCAUGUUUAAUAAUGCGUAAUGAAGUACGUAGCUGCCACUUUACACAGAUUCACUCUCAAAAUUUGAACAUUACGGAUCUUAUAAAUUGGGACGAAGAGCUCUAUUUAAUUUGAAGUUCAUUUCAGUAUUUUUUUUUCUUCAUAUUGUAAGGACCAGCCACUUUGCCAUUAAAACCACGCAGCUUCUUGGUUCUUUUUGUAUACAAACUACAUAUCUAAUUUCUAAAAGGAAUCCUAUGAGCACCAGGCUAAUUCAGUGUAAGGGAUUUUUUUUUUAAUUAUGCUGAAUAGUAAAAGAAAUUUAUUAUUAUUAUUAUUUAGUACAACACAACAUUCCUCCCAGCUUGUUCAUCAUUGAGCAUUAUCAAUUCCUAUAAUGGUUGUCAACUGGUCAUGACAUCCAAGCCCUACCAAAGAACAAAACAAUACACGUUAGAUAUGCCUGAUUUCUAGUCAUAUCAAACCUCUUGUCUUAUGCAAUUUGUGUUGAUCCAUUUAUUAAAUAAAACUUGAGACAUGCCAGCUAUCUAUAUUGCUCUUCUGCCUAGUCGAAACAGAAAAAGAGACACUAAAUUAUUGGCUUCUCAAUUAGUCUAACAUAUAAAAUGUAUGAAUUGAUCACUAAUCAAUUGAUCUGAAUUCCCAAGAUAGUCGUCAAACUGUUAGAGGCAAAAUUUGCACUAUGAUCGAUUAUGUAACAAGGCCUAUACACGAAUGUAAUUGAGAACAAUAUUGAAAUGACAGAUAAUAAGAUAGUCUUGGAUGAAAAUAGGCCUUAGCCAAGCAUGACUUACAAAUGUAUGAAUGGUAGAAGUACAAGUUAUGCUCAUCAAAGGGGGUUUAACAUAUGGGAGAUAUAAUGCUUAUUAUAAAGUUAACUUGUAUUAGGUGUUAAUGAAGUUUUUCACUAUCAUCUUUCAUUCCGAUUUAAGAAUAAACUGUUCAUUAAGGCUAUAAAUCUAAGACCUUAGGAGAGGUUUGUAAGAUUAUUGAUGAUAAUAAAGAACUACCAAGGCUAUUACUCUCCUUGUUUGCCUUUGUAUUUUGUUCAAUUUGUAGAAAAACAUAUUAUCACAACUUUAGAGAAUGCAUGUCUUGAAAUAUUUUGUGAGCAAGUUAUAAUGCUAUAUGCGAUUAGUAAAAGUUAAAAUAAGAUAUAAAAAAAACAAGUUUCUCAUAUAUUAUCAAAUGAACUAAUCAAUAAAUCAUAUAUUACAAUGCUAUGCUCAAUUAUAGUAGAUCCUAUUUUGUAAAUACUGUUUCUCUCUACACUAGAGUUGAACAUGAAGAUGUAGCAGGAUCAUAUAGAGCAGGAACCAAGUAUUUCCUUCCAUUUGUACCAUGUGCAUUGUAGCUUGCACCUGUUGUUUUAUCCACCAAUAAAUCUCCAGCGUAGCCUGGGUAAGCGCCCUUCGCAUAGACACCAGGGCAAGCAGAUGCAGCUUCCAAUGGCGCAUCUGCUUCGCCCUGGUAGUAACCGUUUCCAAAUGGGUUUGUGGCGGUUCCAGCUAAUAAGCUAGCUAAGUUGAUCACCAUACCAUCAACACCCACAUCGUUGUUUGGUGCACCCAAUGGUGGGUUUUGUGGUCCAUAGAUGGGCUGGUGGAAUGGCCACGCACAGUAGCCAGGACACAGAGUCUCUGAGUUACCAACCCAAAUAUAAGCAAAUUUAUAAGUUUUACCCUUAAUAACAGCACCCUUAGAAGCCCCAUGAGUUCCACACCGAUUAACACAGAACCCAUCAACAGCAACAUCAGAUGCGGUCAAUACAACGUUAAUGGCGUCUCUUUGUUCACCCUUUGAUGCCAAUUGAACGAUUUGUUUCUGGGUUAGUGAUUUUCCUAGGGAAUAAUUUUCGAUGAGAACUUGUUUGCCUAAAUUAAGGGAAAGGGUGUUCUUAGAAUUGGUGAGAUGGUAGUAUUUUUCAGUGGUUUUCCACCAUUGUGCUACUGAAGGAUUGAUUUUAGAUGGAAUUGAAGAAGAAAGGGAGUUGAUGAAAUCGGAUACAAUAGCUCUCUGGGAUGGCUUGAAUUUGCCAUACCAAAUCAGAUUAACAGAGAUUUUGCCAGAAAGAAGUGCACCCUUGUGGUAUUUCAAAAGCUGCAUUUGUGGGUCUUGUACUAAAGCAGUGAGCUUUCUUGAAGCAAAGCACACAUUAAAGAAGGAAAUAACAAGAAAGAGUUUCAAAAUGAAAUGGGUCGAAUUGGAAGUGAGAGAAGACAUAUUUUGUAUUUCUUUGUAAGUAUUUGAUGGAAAUUUGAGUGUGUAAGUAGUAUGGAUGUUGGAGAAGAGAGGCGGAUUAUAUAUAGCGCAAGCAAUUGAAAGAGUGCGUUUUGCUUGUUACGAAUGUGCGAAGAAGGAGAAAAGUUGACUUUAAAAUAAAGCGCGUUUAGCAUUAACUAGUAGCAGCUGUGUAACUAACAUAAGGAAGAUCAAAAUAACUUUAAAGCGAUUUCUAUUUCCGCGGCCCUACUAUGGGCAUUGCUCUCACUGCUAUAAUUGACUUCAUUAGUGUUGCUUUCGUGAAAGUCAAAAUAUUGGAAGAAAUGUGCAAAACAAAGUAAUGUAAAUAUACUAACCCACAUCCCCAUUCCCCAAAAUAACCUAUUACCAACUACUCUGAAAAAUGGCGAAAUGGUCUGAUAGACCCUUGUAUUUGUAUCAGUUUGUAUUCUGAAUCCUUCUACUUACCCAUUUGUCAUUUGAACCCUUAAACUCAAUAAAACACAAUUUAUCGGACCCCUGUGACCAUUGACCAUGCUUACGUGUCUUUAAGAUGGCUGAGUUGGCGAAAGUGUGUGACUUCACGCUCCUUAAGGUGAGUGAGUACUAUAUUUCAGUUUUAAAAAUAUUAAUAAAGAUAAAUAUACAAAAUUAUUAAAAGUCUCCAUCUUCUUCACCCACUCCACCUUCAUUUGCAGCCAUCUACAUGCCCCGACUCUUUUUUUUCUCUUCAUACUAUUGUCAUCAUCUUUAAAAGAUCUUGGCAUUGAAACCUCCUUGAGUCCAUUGAAUCACCGCUAGUGGGAGAGAUCGAUGGUGGUGGUGCUCGUCGGAGAAAACUAGUUCGCAGUAGAGUGAGAGAGACAAUGCUAGUCAGUGGAGAAUGAGGCGGGUGAGGGUUGGAGGAUUUAGUUACGACAGUGAAGAGAUUUUCGGCUAGAUCUGCGGCGGCGAUUUAGGUUAGUAGUUAUGUGAUGGUUGAAGGAGGAGGAAAGGAAAAUAGUAGAUUUUGUAUGUUUUAAGAUGGGAAUGGGGACUCACCCUCCGAGGAAGAAAUGCACCAACAGCUUGAUCUCCUCCAUAGAAGCGCCACCAUUGUCAAAGUUCAGAAGAAGUUGAAGAGCUUAUUGCCUAAUCUAUUUUGGAAAUAUGUUGGGUUUCUUUUGUAGCUUAAGGAAUAAAUUUAAAUUUUAUUGUUUUACUUUUUAUUAAAUAAAACACAAUUGAUAUUUUUUUUAAAAAUAAAUAAUAAAUGAUGUGUAAUUUUAAAUCUGACGUGGAUGAUGAUGUGUCAUUUUUGUCGAGAGUUUGAAGUACACACAGAGCCAAUGGGGUUUAAAAUGCUAAGUUACAUUGAAUUUAAGGGUUCAAUUGACAAAUAGUUAAGUAGAAGGGUCCAGAAUACAAAUGCAUACAAGUACAAGGGUCCAUCAGACCAUUUCUCCUUUUAAAUAUCCAGGUAAAUAUAUCAAUGUUAUGUUGAAAAUUCAUAAAGUAAAACAUAAAUAUAAGUGAUAAUUUGUAGAUCUUAUAAUAUAAAAUUUGCAUAAACUUUCUUUUCUUUAUAAUACGUAAAGAGAUAAGAUUUAUUACCCACAAAAGUUUUAUGUGGGUAAUAUAGGUUUUCUUAUGUGGUUAAAAUGCUAAGUUACAUUGAAUUUAAGGGUUCAAUUGACAAAUAGUUAAGUAGAAGGGUCCAAAAUACAAAUGCAUACAAGUACAAGGGUCCAUCAGACCAUUUCGCCUGAAAAAUUGAUAACUACUUCAUGUCUUCAUCUGUUUCCAAUUUUAGGUAAUUCAUUUUAUAUUUUUCAUUGUUAGUUUAUUUGAGGAAGAGCUAUUUUAAAUUUUAGAUUAAUUUUGUAGCUAUAAUAGGAACUUGCAACUAAUUUUCCGGUGACCUUUUAAUGAAAACAGAGUUAUUUUAGGGUUAGAAAAAACAGUUUGAUAACUUUCCUGCAUUAAUAUUAGUCCUUCCAUUUCAAAAUACUAGUAUCGAAUUAAUCUAAUCAAGUUAGUCGAAUUGAUUAUCAAAAAAUGACACGUCACAACUAGUUUGGAAUGGAGGGAUCACAAAACAUAAAUUUGACCACCUUAUGUAAAAUUAUUCCUUAAUAGGAAUGGAGAGGGUAUGUCCAAAAUAUUGUAUAAAAAGUAAGAGAAACCGCUCAGUGGUGAGCGUUCAAUAUUUCUAAAUUUUGAAUUUGGUAAUGAUAGUUAAGAGUAGAUACCAAAUAUUAAAUCUUUAAAUAUUUAUUCGGUAAUCGGUAAAUCAAACUUAUUCGGUAAUACCGCAUUGAAUUUGUAGUCGAUUAUAUCACAAAGUUAAUAUUAUUGCAUUUAUAUUUUUCUAUGUGGAGACACGAUAUAAUAGAAGAUUAAAAAGACAUUAAAAAAAAGAAAGUAAAUUGACACAACUAAAAGACAUGUAUUUGGAUCAUUUAUGUUUAGUAUUUAGCUUUCUCUUUAAAUUUGUACUAAUGAGUUAUUAACUACUUGAUAUAUGUCCUUCAUUAAGUAACUAAUUUAGUAUUCGUGGAAAUACCGAAUACCAAAUGAUUCUAAUGUCUCAUACACCCAUACUCAAAUAUCGUAAUUUUAAAAUUUUACUCCCGAAUACCAUACUAAAUACCGAAUUACCAAAUACCAAAUUUAAUUCGGUAUUAUAUGUCCAACCCUACAUAAUUUGUCAAAUGGUGGUGAAUUCGAUCUUACAUACAUGCCGCGUCUUAGACAUGUUGUAGAUUACCACUUUCUGAUACCUGCCCUGUCUAGUUAAUACUCCUCAAUCCUCAUACCUGCCUUGUGAGUGAAGUAAUUAAUAAAUACUAGGUACGUACUAGUCACCAUUAUAUUCAGGCCCUCACCACUAAAUUAUGCGCCUCUACUCAAAGCGUCGUCUCCAUUAUAGUUACUAACGCAUUAUAGACCAGAUGUCACUUUAGGGACCCUGGUGUGAGGGAUAAAGAUAAGUAGUUCUGGAAUAAUAUUUUGGUGUCUAGUGUGGAAUAAUUUAUUCUAUAGUGAUGAGAUUAGUUAUUUCAUAUACAUGGUGGGUAAAUUAUCCCAGGAUAAUUAAUUAUGGAAUAACUUGUUUACAUAGCUUCACUCUAAGUCUUAAGGCAUUUGGACAAUAUUUCAGUUUAUUAUAUUCAAAGGGUGAUAUAGUAAAAUUAUUCUUCUAUUUAUAUUUUCUUAAGUGUGUAAAGUCAAUAAUAAACAACUAUUGUUGGAUAGAGAGAUUACAAGUUUUAAAUUUGUGAGGAAAAACCCGAAAUGCACAUUUCAGUAUAUAUUUUCACAUGGUGUCGUAUUUCUUUUUGUUUACCCAUUAUACUUGUAAUUUCAAGUGAAAAAUCCUUGAAAACAAUUUGCUUGCAUAUUCUAAUUCCAAUUAAAUAUAUUGGCAGCUUCUUCAAUUAUACAUUAUUAUUAGUACAACACGACAUUCCUUCCAGCUUGUUCAUCACUGUGCAUUUUUAUCUAAUAUAGCCAUCAGUCCCUGUAAUGGCUGUCAACUCGUCAUGGCAUCCAAGCCCUACCAAAGAAAAGAACAAUACAAGUACUUGGACAAAGAAUUAGGAAAAAGGGCACAAGGGACAUGCUUGAUGAUCUCUAGUCAUAUAAAACAACCUCUCGUCUUAUUCUAUUUGGUAAUGUCAGAUACAUUUAUUUGAUAAUUGUAACUUGGAAGCUAUAGAUACUUCUUCAUCUGCCUUGUCAAAAAGGAAAACAGAGCCUACUAAAUAAUUGGCUUCUCCAUGUUUAUGCUUAAUCGACCUUCUUCCAAGUAAUUUUUUUUAGGUGCACAACUAAUAAGCCUUGGCAUUAAUUGAACAUCACUAAUUAAUUAAGCUGAAUAUUCAAAAUAUUGUUGAGUUGCAAUACCUGUCUUUGUUUGUGAUGAAUUAUAGAGUAAUGAAAUAGUAGACUGAGUAUUCAAGAUAGAAAGAAGAGAAAGAGGAGGAGAAGAAGAAGAAGACGAAGCUAGAGAAGAUGGAGAUUGAUCCUUUAUUGUAUUAUUCAAGUUACUUCAAUAAUGAACAAGAGAUCCUUUGUAUAGAUAUAGUAAACUAACUAUCUGCCUUAACAACUAACCUACUAACAGAAUUAGUAACUAACUUACUAUACACAUGUAUAACAGAAUAUUCUAGAUCAUUGUAUAUCCUCAACACUCCCCCUCAAACUUGGUACUGCAAAGAGAUUAGCCAGUCCAAGUUUGGAUAUCAAAUAGACAUGUUGAACUCUGUUUAGACUCUUAGUUAGAACAUCAACAAAUUGAUCAUGUGUCGAUAUAUACUGAGUCUUUAUGAGACCUUGUUGAAUCUUUUCCCUAAUGAAAUGACAGUCUAUUUCUAUGUGCUUGGUCCGUUCAUGGUACACUGGAUUAGCAGCCAUUUGAAUGGUUGUUGUGCUAUCACUAAAUACUGUAAUUGGUAGUUGAACUUGAACUCCAAGAUCUGUAAUAAGGCAUACAAUCCAAGUUAACUCAGCUAUUGUGGAAGCUAAACUCCUAUAUUCUGAUUCAGCUGAACUUCUAGAUACAAUGGACUGUUUCUUUGACUUCCAUGAGAUCAAUGAGUCCCCAAGCUGAAUAAUGAAUCUUGAAACAAAUUUUCUGGAAAAGGUACCAGCAGCCCAGUCUGCAUCAAAAUAGGUUGUGAGAAUAUCUUUCUUGUUGCUCGAUAGUAACAGCCCUUGUCCUGGUUUUCCUUUUAUAUAAUUGACUAUUCUAAGUGUUGUAUCCAUGUGAGUCUGUUUUGAUGUCUGCAAAAACUGACUCAGUGUUUGAACACUAUAGGAUAUGUCUGGUCCGGUUACUGUAAGAUAUAGAAGUUUUCCAAUAAGUCUUUGAUAUGCCCCUUGAUCAGCUAGUGCUUCAUUACUUGAACUUAGACCUUCUUUGAUAUGCUGAUCAUAUUCAGUGGUAGUUAGUUUUGUAGUUGUGUCCACACAAGUGGAUGAUGGUUUUGUUGCACUCAGUCCAGUUUCUGAUAUAAGCUCAAGGGCAUACUUCCUUUGAUGCAUUAUAAUACCUUGCAAAUUCUAUGCCCAAAAAAUACUUUAAUUCACCAAGAUCCUUUAUUUUAAAGUUCUUGUGUAAUGCUUCCUUGGUUGCUAGGAUUUGAUCCAAACUAUCUCCAGUGACAAGUAUGUCAUCUACAUAUACCAACACAAUAAUUAUUCCUUAAUUUGUUUUCUUGAUAUAUAAGGAGUGAUCAAAUUGACUUUGUCUGAAACCACAAUUGAUUAAUGCUUUGGAUAGCUUUGCAUUCCAUUGUCUUGGUGCUUGCUUUAAUCCAUAUAAGGAUUUUGAAAGUCUACAUACACUCUCUCCCUAACUCUGAAAUCCUUGAGGAAGGGACAUGUAGAUUUCAUCCUCCAAGUCACCUUGUAAAAAAACAUUAAAAACAUCCAUUUGGUGAACAUGCCAGUGUCUGGAUGCUGCAAUAGAUAACACAGUCCUUAGUAUGACCAUUUUAACCAUUGGACUGAAUGUUUCUUGAUAGUCAAUGCCCUCCUUUUGGCUAUAACCUUUUGAUACAAGCCUUGCUUUGAACCUCUCAACCUCACUAGUGGAUUUGUACUUUACUUUGUAUAUCCACUUACAUCCAAUUGGCCUUUUGCCUUCAGGUAGAGAUACCACUGUCCAGGUGUUGUUGCUUUCAAGAGCAGACACUUCAGCUUUCAUUGCCUCUACCCACCUAGGAUCCUUCACAGCUUCUUCAUAAGUUAUAGGUUCCACUAUGUUAGAGAACUGAGACAAAUAACACUGGUAAUUAGUAGAGAUAUUAUCAUAUGAAAGAUAGUUGGAUAGUGUAUGAGGCACAUUGUCACUAAUACUUAAUGACACAAAAUCCUCCAUCCAUGUAUGGGGUUGUUUGCCCCUACAUGAAUUUCUUCCAGGUACAAGCUGAAUAUUCCUAGAAGCAGUUGCUGGUGCAGGCACAACUGGAAUAUUAUCAUUUAGAGGAUCUACACCCUAUGAGGUUUCCUCAACAGUCUGAUUAGAAUGUAUAGUAGGAACUGAAAGGUUUCUGAUGCAUUGUCUUCAAUCAGCUCCUGAGACACUGGAGGAAAUAACUGAUACUGAGUAUCCAUAGUAGCUUUGAAAGGGAACAUGUCUUCUCUAAAAGUUACUUCCCUAUGAACAAAUUUUUUUUUGUUAGUUAGAUCAAAUAAAAUGUAACAUUUCUUUGUUUCUGAAUAUCUCAUAUGCACUGCAUGCUUAGUUCUAGACAUUAGUUUAUCUUGUUCAUGUAGUAUCUUUACAUGACAUAAACAACUUAGCACUUUUAAGUGUGUAAGAGAUGGUUUUCUGUUAUAAAGCCUUUCAUAUGGAGACAGGUUAUGUAAUAUAGUAGAAGACAUUCUAUUAAUCAAGUAAGUUGCAACUUUUACACAGUAACCCCAAAAUUUGAGAGGAAUAUUAGCUUGCAAUCUUAUUGCUCUAGUUAUUUCUAAUAUAUGUCUGUGUUUUCUUUCAGGAAUUCCAUUUUGUUGAGGAGUAUACACUACAAAAAAAGGAAAAUAUUGCGACAGUUUCACAGAACCGUCGCUAAUGUAAAAUAAUACGACGGUUUUUUAUAUGUCAUAUUACAUUUGCAAUAGCGGCGGUUAUCACCUAAAUUGCGGCGUUUUGAAACACCAGUUAUAUUUAAAUUUUCCCAACAGAUUUUCUUUUCUUUUAUACGUCAAUAUAUUUUCCUUAAUUUACUCUAUUUUCCUUAAUUUCAUUAUCUAUUUUCCUUAAUUACAAAGAAAUUAAUUUAGCAAAUCAGUCAAACGUUUUUCAUUCUCUCUUCCACUUUAAAUCAAUCCCCAGAUCAGUCUUUGUAAGGUAUAUAUCUAUAUCUUCCAAAUCAAUCACCCAAAUUAGCUCUCAAUGUUCUCAAAUCGAUUGCCCAAAUUAGCUCUCAAUCCAUGGCGUAUACUGUAGAUAAGUUCAUAUCUACAAGGAUAGGCUUCUCAAUUUCAUUGUAAAACUUUUAAAUUUGAAUUUAUCGCUCACUAGAAAAGAAGCCGCCAUCACCAUCUCUUCACCAGCAAAGCUUUUGUUCGUUCAAUCUGAAAUGGUGCUAAGUUGAUAGGUAAGCUUUUUGUUAGAAUUCAUGCAUGUUUGAGAUUGUAGAGAUUUGUUACAGUUCAUACAUGUAGGAUUCAAGUUUUUUGUUAGGGAUUUUCUUUCUUUUAGAUUUGAGUUACAUUUUUUUGAAUAAUCCAUUUAUUAAUCUAAAUUUAUAUAAGAGCUUGAUAGGUUGUUGAGGCAUCAAAACCUGUUGGUGAAGGUGUUGAGAUCAACUUCGAUAGUAAAUCGUGUGAUAGGUAUAUAACUCUUAUUGAUGUAACUUUCUUUUUAUUGAGUGUUUGAGCUGCUGAGAUAUUAAUCAUGAUAUUUUACUGCUCCUGAUGGUGAAACGUCAAGCACAUCGAUAUGUGGUGCUCAGUUGUCCGCAUUGAGAGUUGAUUGUUUAUCAAUAGGCAGAGGAUUCCCGGUCUUUGUUGUUUGUUGAGCAGAGAUGUGGUUGUAGUGAGAAAUAGCCCAAAAUCAUCCCUUACUUUUGGCUUUAGACCUAUAAUCAUCCUUCUUCCCCAUGUUUAAAAGUUGAUAAAUUUUUAGUCUCUUCUUUAACAAACUCAAACUUUAUUCUCUGUUCAUUGUUUCUGACACAGUAGUACUUCAUCACAUUGAAGAAUUUAAAGAAGUUUAUAAAAUAUUAGUACCUACUUUUCACAAUAUUAGUAAGUACAUAGAAUAGGAAAGGUUAAUGACGGUUACACGCUUUGAGUUGCUUUUUUCAGAUAAUUUAUCUUAGUUUCAGUAAAGAAGUGAUGAGAGUGGAGGUAUGUGUAUUUGAAUAAACACUUCAAUCAUUAGCUAAUGUUUCAAUAAUCAUUCCAAUAAAAGGAGUACUAUCCAUGCCUUUGGUAACAGAGAAGGAGGCCAGAUAGGUCUGGGGUUGGGAGGUUAUUUCUCAUUAACUGAAUGUUAUAUAUUAAGCUAGACAUUUCGAAGGUGACUAAAAGAGCACUAAUUGGUGUUGAAAAGUUGAAGUUCUGAGCAGCUUAUGAAAUUCAUCUCGUAGGUUAAAGACAAUGUCCAAGUAGAUCAAAAUGUAUCUCGACAUUUGGUUGAUGAACAUUGUCUCGUUGACUGGAGUCUUCUGGUAAUAUAUUUUUCCCUUCUCUUUGUCCCUUUAUUUGGUUGGAAACUUGGAAUUCUCAUUAUGCUCGGUUCUCAAGUCUGAUAAGAUCAAUCAGGCUCGACUGAAUAUCCUGAUCUGGUUAUGUUGUGACAACGCAUUUUCUUAAUUACUUACUAAUGUUUUACAAUUUGAAAUUUUCAGAAGGCAAAGGGAAAAGAUGUUGAUCGAGGUAAAAUGCGGACUGAAACUCAUAAGAGAAAAGAUGGAAGUUAUGUAACUGAAGCAGCUAGGGAGAUUGGGAUUAAGUAUUCUUCCUAUUCAUGAUUAAUCGAUACUUAUUUUGAACAUGUCCCUUCCCAUAUCUGAAAGUGCAACUUCUUGUAGUGUUCUAUGGUUUCUGUCAGAAUUGUUACAACAACAGAAGGUCAUUGAAAUAACACUAUCAACUAGCUAGUAGUUGUAUAUCAAAUUGUGUUAACGAAACAAACAAGAUACUGAUUGAAAAAGGGAGAGUUGUCUAAGUUAGACAAGAUUGGAAUAGAUGGGCUAGUGUACCAUAAAGUGCAAAUCAUGUGCACAACUGUAAUUAGUUAGAUGCGGUUUCUAAUAACCUCUAGUUUUAGCGUGUAUAUAUGAUGGGAUGCAAUGAUAUUUUAAAUGAAGAAAGGAAUCAAUAUUCUCUUCCUAAUCAACUAGGCUUUCUCUCAAACGUUUCUGUUCCUUUUAAAAAGAUCGACUUGCCAGCUCAUAACUUACCUUCUUCUGAAGCAAAGUUUGUUGGCAUCAUUUCUUUAUUCUUCAAAAUUACCAGCUACUCACCUUCUGAAUGAUUAACUUGUAGAUUUUUUGGUAACAAAUUGUGUAGCAAAUGAGAAAGUAGAGUAUAAGGGUGCAGUUAACCAAAAAUAGGCUGAUGGUUCAUUGGUUUGGCUACAACAUAAUAGUCUUUGAUCUCUUUCAAUUUGUUUGUCUCAUUUUGAUAUGACACCAAGUUUAAGAAACUAAAUAAUACUUUCAAAUCUUGUGAUUUUAAACCAAUGCUCAUGAAUCUUGUGAUCUUAAAUGAUGCCACGUAAAAGGUUAGAAUUUAAGAGUCACCAAAAGAGAAAAGAGACAUUAAGCAGACUAAAGAAAGAUAGCAGGAUAAACAAAUUGAACGAGUGCUUAAACUGUCUAGGAGAUUUGUACUCUUUGUCACUUUAAAUUAUAUAAAUAUGCUUCGGGUGAAUCACUUUAUUGUCACAAGUUGGAGGAAUCUCUUAAUUUCAUAUUUGCUUUUGAACACAUAUCCAAGUCUUGUUUCUCUUCUUUUUUAUCCCCUUUUCAGGCAUGAUGAUGAUGAUGAACCAAGCAUCAAUUAGAAAUCUUUAGGAAGUAACAAAGAUGAUGGACAAAGCAUCGAAUGGAAAUCAUUUUAGGACCCGUUUUUUUAAUACUUUGCUGAAUUACACUUUGAAACUAAUAUUUAGAUGAUGUAAUUUUGGAACAUCGAAUAAGUAAUAACACUCCAAAACAUUAGUAUUUUGAUGGUGUAAUUUUAGAGUACUUUUGUUUUAUAUGAUGAAUAUUUUGCUUAUUUGAUCUUUUAUGCUUGGUUAAAAAUACUAAUUAUAAGAGUUUAAAUGUAUAUGAUUCAAUAAAUAGGAUGUAAACUUGGAUGGACAAAAUUGAAAAAAUUAAUUAUUGUAAUAAAAUUAUUCAGUCAAGAACUAACACUACGACAUUUUUAAACUGUUGCAAGUUUUCUCUUUUUACAAUUACGGCGGUUUCUUACCGCCAUUUUAUAAAACAAAAAAGGUCGCAUAAACGACGGGAUAUUACGACGGUUAUUACAUAUAUAUUAUGACGUUUUUCAAAAAACCGUCGUAAUAUAUUUGUGACAGACAGGAUUGCGGCAUUUUUAGAAAACGUCGUUAUAGUACUUUGUGACGGUUCAAAACCGCUAUAAUAAGUCUUAAAAACCGUCGCAAUAAGCACUAUUUUUUUGUAGUGAUAAGAGCAAGAUGUUUGAUGUAUGAUGCCUAACUUAGCUAGUAACUCAGCACACAAUUGAUUCACAAAUUCAGUUCCAUUAUCAGUUCUUAUUAUUUUUAUGUAUGUGUCAAAUUGUGUUUUAACAUAAGCAAUAAAAUGUUGAAUAACAACAAGAGUAUCAGAUUUAAGCUUAAGUAAGAACACCCAAGUCAUUCUUGAAAAAUCAUCCACUAUAGUUAAGAACCAUUUUUGACCAUCACAAGUAGGCACUUUAUAAGGCCCCCACACAUCCAUAUGCACAAGAUCAAAAGGAUUCGUACUAAAACUAGGUGAUUUUAUUGGAAAAGGCAACCUAGUUUGUCUAGAACAUGGACAUAUAGAACACUUUCCAAUAAUAUCUUCUAUGUAAGAUUUUUUACUAGGAAACAAAUGACACAACACUCUAGAUGACACAUGACCAAGCCUAAUAUGCCACAAUUUUAUAGCAGCUUGAUCAGUAGUAGCUUGACUUCUCUUAACAGAAAACACAUAUGCAUUUUUGCUCUGUCCAGGCACAUUUUGAUGACUCAGUAGAUAGUAAAGGCCAGCUCUUUCUCUACCAAUCUCCUUCACCUUUCCACUGUAGAGAUCCUGAAAAACACAGAAGUUAGGAUAAAAGGUAGCUGAACAAUUGAGUUGCUUAGUUGCCUUUGAAACAUAUAAGAGAUUAUACUUAAAUUGUGGCAGAUGAUACACAUUAAGAAUAGUAUUGUUAGGUGAGAUAUGACUAGAACCAGUGUGUGACCACAGCUACAUCCCCAUUUGGCAAUGCCACUCCUUUGGAACUCACAGAAUCAGAUAUAGAGUUUUUAUUAAGAAGCUUUAUAUCUGAAGUCAUGUGGUUGGUAUCCCCUGUGUCAAUGAUCCAUUCAGGUGGACCAGAGUUUUUUUCAAGAGCAUAAUUCAUACCUGACAUGUUAGCUGCUGACACUGGCUGAGUUUAUUAUUCCAGUAUUCUGCAAAUUUGCUCAUAUUGCUCAGAGGUGAACCUUGGUUCAGAGGUGAACCUUGGAGGCAUAUGUUGCCCUGUAGAGUCAAGUGUGUCUGAUUCUUCAAAAAUAGCACCAUUGUGUGCACUUGCCCUUCUUGGUUUGUAUCUGUUAUCAUAAGAGUUGUACAACUUAUUCUCAACCCCUCAUUUCACUUCACCAUGUCUUAGAUGCCCUGGUGGAUACCCAACCAACCUGUAACAAUCCACCUUGAAGUGACCCUUUAACUUACAGUGAUCACAUACUGCAUUAGGAUCAUAAUUGGAUGUAUAUGUUUUUUUCCUUUCUAAUAACUAUUUUGAUAGUUUUGAUUUGUAGACUUGGAGUACAUAGCUACAUCAGAAUUCCCAGGCAUUGCACCCAAUAAUCCUAAGGCAUUAACAACUUGAGCUACACUCUUCUGACUUUUAUCACUCAUCACCAUUGAGUAGGCUGCAUUUACUGAUGGUAGAGGUACCAUUAACAAGAAUUGACUUCUUGCUUGAGAAUAUGUAUCAUUCAAGCCCAUAAGGAAUUGAUAGAGCUUUUGCCUCUGUAGGUACAUUAUAAAAUCCUUGGAUCGUUCAUAAUUACAUGCAGGGAAGGGAACCAUAGACUCAAACUCAUCUCAUAGUUCCUUUAGCUUAGUGAAAUAGACUGAUACAGAAUGAACUCCUUGAGAUAUAGUUGCUAUUUCUUGAUGGAUAUUAAUUGUUCUAGACCAAUCUAUCUUAUCAAAUCUUUCUUUUAAAUCCUGCCAAACACCUUGAGCAGUAGUGGCAUACACUACCCUACCAAGAAGACUACUUGAGACAGAAUUCAUCUGCCAAGAUAGGACUAUGGCAUUCACCCUUUCACAUUGACCCCACAGUUCAACAGGGAACCUUUCUUUAUUCCAAGAUCCAUCGACCAAACCCACAUUGUUUCUUCCUAAUAGCGCAAUCCUAAUAGACUUACUCCAAAACCCAUAGUUUUCACUUCCUUUUAAUUGAAACGAAAUGAUAGUCAUACCUGAAACAUCUGAAUUGGACAGGUAAAGGGGAUGAUUGAAGUCUACCGGAGCCUGCAAUCCUUGAAUCAUUGGAGGAACUCCUUUUGCAGCUGAUGAGUUCACUUGAUCUGCAACAUCAUUGACUGCUGUAUUUACCAUUUUUGACUGAUUUCAGUAGAUAAAUGCAAAAACACCAAGAAUCACGAUUCAGAGAUCAUGAAUUCACACUUCAGAGUAUACAAUUCCUUCAGGAUCGAUUACAGCUUAACUAUGUUGGCUAAGCUCUGAUACCAUGAUGAAUUAUAGAGUAAUGAAAUAAUAGACUGAGUAUUCAAGAUAGAAAGAAGAGAAAGAGGAGGAGAAGAAGAAGAAGAAGCAAAGAAGAUGGAGAUUGAUCCUUUAUUGUAUUAUUCAAGUUACUUCAAUAAUGAUCAAGAGAUCCUUUAUAUAGUAAACUAACUAACUGCCUUAACAACUAACCUACUAACAGAAUUAGUAACUAACUUACUAUACACAUGUAUAACAGAAUAUUCUUAUUGAAUGUGAGCUUACUAGCCAGGUGAGAGUAGUUGAGAGAAGAAUCGAGAAUGAAAGAGAUACAGAGGAAAAUGAAUUAACCGACUUACUUUCUCAUUAUCCCAAAAGUUCUAUUAUACACAGCUAACAACUAACAGAAAAUUAAUUACUUGGUAACUAACUCACUAACAAACUUAUAAACAAACUAACUACAUCAGCUAAUUAUAUACAAUAUUCAUUUCAUCACUCCCCCUCAAGUUGGGUGAUGGAAUAUGUCCAACAUUCCCAACUUGAACAACAUAUCACUGUGCAACUGCUUUCCUAAAGCCUUGGUGAAGAUGUCUGGCAUUUGUUCUCUGCUUGCUAUGUAAGUAGUUUUGAUAAGCCCCUCCUGUAGUCUUUCUCUGAUGAAAUGGCAGUCUAUUUCUAUGUGUUUUGUUCGUUCAUGAUACAUGGGAUUUGAAGCAAUUUGCAUAGCUGCUUUAUUGUCACAAUGGAGCUCUAUAGGCAGGUCAAUCUGAGCACCGAGUUCCUUUAAUAACCCCUGCAACCAUACUAAUUCUGCCACUGUUGUUGCCAUACUUCUGUACUCAGCUUCUGCUGAACUCCUUGAGACUGUGUUCUGUUUCUUGGACUUCCAUGAUACCAAAGAUUCACCAAUUUUAAUACCAAAACCUGUGACAGAUUUUCUGGACAGUACACACGAUGCCCAGUCUGCAUCACAAAAGGCAUUGAUUCUGCCUGACCUUGUACUGCUCAUAAAAAUCCCCAAACCAGGUUGCCCCUUAAUGUACCUUACUACAUGUAUUGCUGCAUCAAAAUGAGACUUCUUUGGGGCAUGCAUAAACUGGCUCAAAUGUUGCACAGCAAAUGAGAUAUCUGGCCUUGUCAUGGCUAAGUAUAGGAGUCUCUCAAUCAAUCUUUGAUACACUCUUCUAUCCUCUAACUCAGCAUCACCAGUGAUAUUAAAUUAAGUGGCAUACUCUAGGCUUGUCAGUUUCUGAUUUUACUCAAGAGGAGUUGUAGUUGGUUUUGCUCCAGCUAAACCACACUCUGACACUAACUUUAAAGCAUACCUCCUUUGAUUCAUUAAGAUUCCACCCUUUGACCUUGCAAAUUCAAUGCCAAGGAAAUACCUUAACUCUCCGAGAUCCUUCAUUUUGAAGUUAUGAUGCAAGAUGUCUUUUGCUUCUUGAAUUAAUUUCUCACUAUUUCCAGUGAUCAAGAGAUCAUCCACAUAUACCAAAAUGAUUGCAAUGCUACUAGUAGCAUUUGUUUUAGUAAACAGUGAGUAGUCCAGUUUGCUUUGUGUGAACCCUGAGUGUGUGAGAGCAUUGUUUAGUGUCAAAUUCCACUGCCUGCUGGCCUGUUUUAAACCAUAUAAGGAUUUGAGCAGCCUACAAACUUUGUUCUCCCCCUGGCUGCCAAAGCCGGGAGGCAGGGUCAUGUACACUUCUUCAACCAGAUCACCUUGGAGGAAAGCAUUGUAGACAUCCAUUUGGAAAAGGGACCAACCUAACUGAGCAGCUAGAGCCACAACACAUCUGACAGUGACCAUUUUAACAACAGGAGAAAAAGUGUCAUGAUAAUCCAAGCCUUCCUGUUGGGUGAAACCUUUUGCAACCAGUCUGGCUUUAUACCUCUCAACACUACCAUCAGCUUUGUACUUGAUUUUAUAUACCCAUUUUACAACCUAUAGGUACUUUGCCCAAAAGUAAAUCAACAAUUUCCCAAGUGUUGUUGUCACUGAGGGCCUGUAUCUCUUGGCCCAUAGCAAGGAUCCAACCACUGUCCUUUGCAGCUUGUGCAAAAGAAGAAGGUUCAGUCAUGGAAGAGGACAAUGUGGAAAGGUAGGACUUGUAAGAAAUAGUGAGAUUAGAGUAUGACAGGGAAGUAGAGAUAGGAUGUGGGGUCUUAGAAGAGGUGAUAUAGUCAGUGUGCCAAAUGGGAGGUUUGAUGGAUCUGGAUGAUCUUCUUUGAGGGACAAGAGAAGGAAUGGGCAAAAUAGGUGGUGCAACGGUUUCAAGGGCAGGAGAGGAGGAAGACAGUGGUGAAGAAGUGUGAUGAAGAUCAGAGGAUGGAAUAGGAAAGCAAUCAUCUGUAGGAUGAGGAAAUGGAGGGAGAGGAGUAGGAAAACAAGAAGGAUGAGAUGGAGGAAGAGAAUCAAGAAAAGUGGGUUUAGGAUGUUUGAAAGGAAAAAUAGUUUCUCGAAACGUAACAUCUCUGUUGACAAAAAAGGAACCAGAAGCAAUUUGCAUAGCUGCUUUAUUAUCACAAUGGAGCUCUAUAGGCAGGGAUAGAUUUAGAGGAGAAUUUGUCAGUGACAUUUGGUUUGGUGGCAUAACAUAAGCAUCCAAAAACUCUAAGAAAGUGCAGGUGAGGAACUUGAUUAUAAAAGACUUCAUAAGGAGAUUUUCCUGCUAAAACAGAAGAAGGAAGUCUAUUGAUAAAGAAAGUAGCAGUAAGAACACAUUCCCCCCAAAAUUUUAAGGGCACAUGAGCUUGAAACCUUAGAGCCCUAGCCAUCUCAAGAAGAUGUCGGUGUUUCCUCUCAGCAAUGCCAUUUUGCUGAGGGGUAUGCACACAGGUACUCUAAGGAAGAAAAAAGGGUGUGACAUUGGUUGUUGAAGAACUCCAGGCCAUUAUCUGAUCUAACAAUUUUAACAGUUGCUGAAAAUUGAGUUUUGAUAAGAGUAAUGAAAGCUGAAAUGAAAGUCACAACCUCACUUUUAUAUCUCAACAAAAAUAUCCAAGUCAUUCGUGUAUAGUCAUCAACAAUGGUAAGAAAGUAUCUAUGACCAUUGUAAGUACAUUGCUUAUAAGGACCCCAAACAUCCAUAUGAAAAAGUUCAAAAGAGGCUACAGUUUUCUUAGUACUAGAAUGAAAAGGUAAUCUAGUUUGCCUUGCAAGGGGGCAAACAUGACAAGAAGGAAAAACUUGAUGUUGGAAAAUAGGCUUCAGAGAGGCAAUCUUUUGGAGGACAGCAACAGGAGCAUGUCCAACUCUCAGAUGCCAAACAGAGGGAUCAGGAGAGGAUGAGGAAUUCAAAUUGAAUGAGGAACUGGAAUGAAGUGCAGUGGAAAGUGAUGGUUGCUUGGUAGAUGAUGGGAGCAUGUAAAGACCUCCUUUCUCCUUACCAAUCCCCCUCUCCUUGCCAGUGCAAAAGUCCUGAAAAAGGCAAAAAUGGGGAUAAAAAGACACACACCAGUUCAGUUCUUUAGUUAGUUUGGAAAUAGAUAAAAGGUUAUAUGAGAAUUGAGGAAUGUAAAGGACAUUAUGGUAAAUGUCCAUUAGGUAAAUGCACACUGCUAGAAACAGAAUGUGCAGGAGUAGGGUUGAGUAGUGUAUCCUUGCUAGCAACCAUGUGAUGUGUAGCCCCAGAGUCCACAAUCCAGGAAACUGCAUCAUUACCUGCAGCAAAACAAGUAUGGGAUGUAUUGAAUGUCAAAGGAACAUUACGGGUAAUACCUGCCAUGUAGGAUAAAAUCUCCUGAGGUGCAGAAUCUUUGUCAAUCAGUUUCAGCAGAUGAUUAUAUUGAUCAGGGGUAAAUGUUGGCACAGUUUGACAAAAAAGACUAUUAUCAGGAGUAGGAUUCUGGUUCUCAGUACAAGCCACAUUAUUCACAUAAGGCCUUCUAUUUCCUCCAGAAUUCUGUGGUCUGUUAUUGCCAGAGCUUUGAUCCCUAAAACUUCUGUCAUCUACCCCUUUCUUCUUAGUGAACUUGUAGUGUUGAGGGUACCCAAUUAACCUAUAACAAUUAGCUCUUGUGUGAUUUUUCAGGUGGCAAUGAUCACAGUAUAACCCUGUGCUCUGGUUAGAUUUAUUGUUGUGAACUGAGGCAAGUGCAGUAGGAUCAUGAAUCUCUAACUUCUGUAGGGGCAACACACAAUUGGAUAUCAAACUAGACUGCAUUCUCUGACUUUCAUCCUGCAUAAUCAUGUUAUAUGCUUGAUUGAGGCUAGGACUAGGAACUGUGAGGAGUAUCUGACUUCUCGAUUGAGCAAAGUUAUCAUUUAACCCCAUCAGAAACUGCAUAAGCUUUUGCCUCUCCAUGUGUUCUGCAUAAACUCUAUAUUUAUCACACUCACAUGAUGGUAAUGGUACUAGGGACACGUAUUCAUCCCAGAGGUUUCUCAACUUAGAAUAAUACUCGGAAACAGUGAAUGUUCCUUGACUCAUAGUGCUAAUUUCUCGGUGAAUCUGAUAGAUCCUAGUUAGAUUGCGUUUGUCGAACCUCUCUUUCAGAUCCUUCCAAACACUAUGUGCAUUGUAUGAAACCAUCAGGCCAUUGGCCAAUUCUUUCAAAACUGAAUUGGUGAUACAGGAUAACACAAAGGCAUUACACCUCUCCCACUCAUGUUCUAGAUCUCCUUUGUAGUGUUCCUUUCGACAAUUUCCAUCAAUGAAACCUAUUUUAUUCUUCGCUAACAGUGCUACUCUCAUGGAAUUACUCCAUCCAGUAUAAUUCUCAAUACCAGUAAGCUGUUGAGGAAUUAAAAUGCUACCUGGUGUAUCUGAUGGAUGCAGAUACAAAGGAUUUCUGGGGUGAAUAUCUGUGAAUCUCUCGAUCUGUUCUGGAAUUGAGGUAUUCCUCUCCUGAUUCGAAAUUUCUGAGGAAUCGACUCGAGCUCCAACUCCGUUCGCCAUUAUCGAAUCAAAUCGGUGAUGAAUUUAUGAUUUUCUGGUGAAUUUGUGUUUUCCGGUGAGUGAAUUAUCGUCGGUGACCAACUGAUCUUCCAAUUCUCGAAUUCUAUCAGACUCAAGUCUGCUACACCAGUCUACAGGGAUUUAAGCCGGCCGAGCGACGUCGGGGCAAAACUAAGGCCUAUCGGAUCCGAAUCAUGUAUUUCUAAGGCAAGCCCUAGUCAAACCUAAGCUAAGGUCCAACAUGCUUCAAAUAAACAGUAAUUAAGCAUGCAAGUACUCCACAUAGCGAGGAGGGUCCAUUAAUAACACAAAGCAUGCUCACAGUUACCCGAUAAUUCUCGAAAUAGGCCGAAAACAUGAUUUCUAAUCACCUAUGCAUGAUUCAAUAACUACCCAACCCAAAUCCCAACUAAUCAACAUGCAUUCACAUUCUCGAGCUCAAUCUAAGAGAGGGAAAACCGUAGCCUACCUGUAGGCCAAUCACACGAGCUCCAAAAUAACUUCUCCGGAGCUUUCCCUUUCCGAACGUCCUCGAAACGCUGCCCCGCUAUCAAAAAUAGGAUCACAACGUUAUUACAGUCGUUUAGACACCAAAAUCACAACAAACGGAGACGGGUCAAUUUUGGAGUCAAAACGGGAAUCGUGGGACCCGCGCAGGGAAUUCCGAAAUUAACCCCAAAAGUGGGUCCUAACCAGUUUUCCCAGCUCAUGUCCCAAAAUGGGACACAAUUCGGGGCUCGGGAACAACACAAUAUCAACAUGCAACUAAAACCCAAAUUUUCUCAAAAAUCGAAAUGGGAAAGCAGUGUAUUUACCAAAAAGGAGCGAUCUACAGUAAAAUCUAACAACACCAUAAUGUUCUCCUCGAAAAACCACUCAAGAUAGCCUCAAAAAUCACCAAAAUCGGAUCUAAAAUGGCUAAGAAACAAGUCUCAAAAUUUCCAAAAUCAAGUCACAAAAGAGGUCUGGCAGCAGGUAUUUUCGAAAUUACCUCAAACGGGGACUCCAAAUCACUAUCCGACCUCACCAACACGUUGUCCUUAAAAAAUCUCACAACUUAGCCUUUUGGAUCACCCAAAUCGGUUGAGAGAUGAGAGAGAGAUGAGGGUUUGAAGUUUGGGAAAUGUGGCUGAUUUUCUGCAAUUAUUGCAGAAAAUCUGCAACAUUUCCAAAAUUUUAAAUUCCGACGGGGUGCUCCGAUCUCGUUCGGAACCCCGUGCACGCAAACGAGAUAUACAACCAUACCAAAUUAGAUAUUCCAGACUCAACGGCGCAGUCAAAAUUUCCAUCAGAGGUCAUUUCGAUAAAAAGUGGGUCCCACUUCCAAAAGCCAUUUUAAGUCAAAACCCACAAACGUCGAAUGAGCAUUACGGGUAAUACCUGCCAUGUUGGAUAAAAUCUCCUGAGGUGCAGAAUCUUUGUCAAUCAGUUUCAGCAGAUGAUUAUAUUGAUCAGGGGUAAAUGUUGGCACAGUUUGACAAAAAAGACUAUUAUCAGGAGUAGGAUCCUGGUUCUCAGUACAAGCCACAUUAUUCACAUGAGGCCUUCUAUUUCCUCCAGAAUUCUGUGGUCUGUUAUUGCCAGAGCUUUGAUCCCUAAAACUUCUGUCUUACGGAGCUGAUGGAAUUGUCAAAAUUGGAUUCCAAUGUCAUCUUCUUGAACUUUUGAUCGAAAAUGAUCGUUCAAGGUUCAUAAGCUCCAAAACACAAAAGCUCGCACCAAGACCAAACGAACGACCAGGUGACCGAAUUGUCAGUCCCAGCAAGUCAUAAAUGACUUGGGGUCGCUAUAGGAACGCUCUAAACGACACACAGAAGGCAAGACACAGAAAUGACCAUGAGGGUCAUUACAUCUACCCCUUUCUUCUUAGUGAACUUGUAGUGUUGAGGGUACCCAAUUAACCUAUAACAAUUAGCUCUUGUGUGAUUUUUCAGGUGACAAUGAUCACAGUAUAACCUUGUGCUCUGGUUAGAUUUAUUGUUGUGAACUGAGGCAAGUGCAGUAGGAUCAUGAAUCUCUAACUUUUGUAGGGGCAAAACACAAUUGGAUAUCAAACUAGACUGCAUUUUCUGACUUUCAUCCUGCAUAAUCAUGUUAUAUGCUUGAUUGAGGCUAGGACUAGGAACUAUGAGGAGUAUCUGACUUCUCGAUUGAGCAAAGCUAUCAUUUAACCCCAUCAGAAACUGCAUAAGCUUUUGCCUCUCCAUGUGUUCUGCAUAAACUCGAUAUUUAUCACACUCACAUGCUGGUAAUGGUACUAGGGACACGUAUUCAUCCCAGAGGUUUCUCAACUUAGAAUAAUAUUCAGAAACAGUGAAUGUUCCUUGACUCAUAGUGCUAAUUUCUCGGUGAAUCUGAUAGAUCCUAGUUAGAUUGCGUUUGUCGAACCUCUCUUUCAGAUCCUUCCAAACACUAUGUGCAUUGUAUGAAAACAUCAGGCCAUUGGCCAAUUCUUUCGAAACUGAAUUCGUGAUCCAGGAUAACACAAAGGCAUUACACCUCUCCUACUCAUGUUCUAGAUCUCCUUUGUAGUGUUCCUUUCGACAAUUUCCAUCAAUGAAACCUAUUUAUUUUUCGCUAACAGUGCUACUCUCAUGGAAUUACUCCAUCCAGUAUAAUUCUCAAUACCAGUAAGCUGUUGAGGAAUUAAAAUGCUACCUGGUGUAUCUGAUGGAUGCAGAUACAAAGGAUUUCUUGGGUGAAUAUCUGUGAAUCUCUCGAUCUGUUCUGGAAUUGAGGUAUUCCUCUCCUGAUUCGAAGUUUCUGAGGAAUCGACUCCAGCUCCAGCUCCGUUCGCCAUUAUCGAAUCGAAUCGGUGAUGAAUUUAUGAUUUUCUGGUGAAUUGUGUUUUCCGGUGAGUGAAUUAUCGUCGGUGACCAACUGAUCUUCCAAUUCUCGAAUUGUGCGGAAAAAACUCUCUAGAACAGCUAGAAUUUCAUCGGAACCUACAGCUUUGAUACCAUAUUGAAUGUGAGCUUACUAGCCAUGUGAGAGUAGUUGAGAGAAGAAUCGAGAAUGAAAGAGAUACAGAGGAAAAUGAAUUAACCGACUUACUUUCUCAUUAUCCCAAAAAGUUCUAUUUAUACACAGCUAACAACUAACAGAAAAUUAAUUACUUGGUAACUAACUCACUAACAAACUUAUUAACAAACUAACUACAUCAGCUAAUUAUAUACAAUAUUCAUUUCAUCAAUUCUAGAUCAUUGUAUAUCCUCAACAAUUUGAAAACUAAAUCAAUUGAGCAAGGAAAACAAAAUUAGAAGGUAAUAUAGACAUCAAAAUAAUUUUAUCGUAUAUCAUCAUAAUCUGAAACAAAUGAAUGAAUCAACAAAUUGUAUCUUACAAAUCUAUGCUCAACUAUAUUAUAAAUAUCCUAUUAUGUAAAUUCUGUUUGUCUCUCUAGACCAAAGUGGAGCAUGAAGAUGUAGCAGGAUCAUAUAGAGCAGGAACCAAAUAUUUCCUUCCGUUUGUACCAUGCGCAUUGUAGCUUGCACCUGUUGUUUUAUCCACCAAUAAAUCUCCAGCGUAGCCUGGGUAAGCGCCUUUGGCGUAGACACCAGGGCAAGCAGAGGCAGCUUCCAAUGGCGCAUCUGCUUCGCCCUGGUAGUAACCGUUUCCAAAUGGGUUUGUAGCGGUUCCAGCUAAUAAGCUAGCUAAGUUAAUCACCAUACCGUCAACACCCACAUCGUUGUUUGGUGCACCCAAUGGUGAGCUUUGUGGACCGUAGAUGGGCUGGUGGAAAGGCCAAGCACAAUAGCCAGGACAAAAAGUCUCUGAGUUACCAACCCAAAUAUAAGCAAAUUUGUAAGUUUUGCCGUUAAUAACAGCACCCUUAGAAGCCCCAUGAGUUCCACACCGAUUAACACAGAACCCAUCAACGGCGACAUCAGAGGCGGUCAAAACAACGUUAAUGGCGUCUUGCUGUUCACCCUUUGAUGCCAAUUGCACAAUUUGCUUCUGGGUCAGUGAUUUUCCUAGGGAAUAAUUUUCGAUGAGAAUUUGUUUGCCCAAAUUAAGGGAAAGGGUGUUCUUAGAAUUAGCGAGAUGGUAGUAUUUUUCAGUGGUUUUCCACCACUGUGCUACUGAAGGAUUGGUUUUAGAUGGAGUCGAAGAAGAAAGAGAGGUGAUGAAAUCAGAUACAAUAGCUCUUUGAGACGGCUUGAAUUUACCAUACCAGAUCAGAUUAACAGAGAUUUUGCCAGAAAGAAGUGCACCCUUGUGGUAAUUCAAGAGCUGCAUUUGUGGGUCUUGUACUAAAGCAGUGAGCUUUCUUGAAGCAAAGCACACAUUAAAGAAGGAAAUAACAAGAAAGAUUUUCAAAAUGAAAUGGGUCGAAUUGGAACUGAAAGAAGACAUAUUUUGUUCCUUUUGUAUUUCUUUGUAAAUAGAAGCUCUAAGUUUUGAUGGAAAUUUGAGUGUGUGAGUAGUUUGGAUGUUGGAGAAGAGAGGCGGAUUAUAUAUAGCGCAAUUGAAAGAGUGCAUUUUGCUUGUUACGAAGGUGCGAAGAAGUAGAAAAGUUGACUUUAAUAUAAAACGCGUUUGGCAUUAAGUGUUAGUAGCUGUGUAAAAUAAGGAAGAGAAGAACUUUACUGCCAACUAAUAGCGGUUUCUAUUUCCACGGCCCUACUAUGGGUAUCGCUCACUGCUAUAAUUGACUUCAUUAGUGUUGCUGCACCACCACUUUCGUGAUAGUCAAAAUAUUGAAAGAAAUGUGCAAAACAUGGCAAUGUAAAUAUACUAACCCACAUCCCCACAACUACUUCAUCCAUUUCCAAUUUUAGGUAAUACAUUUUUUUUUCAUUGUUAGUUUAUUUGAGGAAAAGAUAUUUUAAGUUUUAGAUCAAUUUUGGUAACUAUUAUUCCUUAAUAGGAAUGGAGAGGGUAUGUCCAAAAUAUGUUUUAAAAAGUAAAGGGAAUCAAUCCGCACCUUCGAAGUACACAAUUUAUCAAAAUGGUGGUGAAUUCGAUCUUUAUGGAUAAGCUUCAUACAUGCCGCGUCUUAGACAUGUUGUAGAUUGCCUAUUUCUCAUACUGCCCUGUCUAGUUAAUACUCCCUUGCCCACUCCUCAAUCCUCAUACCUGCCUUGUGAGUGAAGUUAUUAAUACAUACUAGGUUAGUACUAAAGUCACCAUUAUAUUCACGCACUCACCAGAAAAGAGAUAUAUUGCAAAACAUGCUUCGUCUUCUUUUUUUUUAAGAUUUUUUUUUUUUUUGAUGAUAGUGGAGUUCCUUUGAUGAACACUAGCGUGAGAAGCAUUUUCACGACCCCUUCUUUACCACUGAGCUUUCAAUCGGUUUUGUUAAAUGUUCACAAAUUAGUGUACAUACAUAUUUAUUUAAUUUUCUAACAGUGGCGGCUCAACGCAAUCGGAAGCCUAAAGCGAAAUUUCAACUAGAGGCCUAAAAUCUAAAUAAACUUUAUAUGCAUUAUUUUUUUAAAAAAAAAGUUCUUACAUUUUUAGAUGCAAAGUAUAUAUACUCAAUAUUUUUUUUAUAAAUGAUUUAUUCGAUUUCUUUUUCAAUUAUUAGCUUCAGACAAGAUUUUAUCAAUUCAAUGCUGAAAACAUAUUUUUACUCAUGCAAUUAUUAUAUCAAUUGCUAACAUACUUCUAUAAGUAAUAAGUUGGCAAAUUUCAAGAUAAGAGUUAGAACCAUAGAAUUUGAUUCAAGAAGUUGAUAAUUUGUAUACUCCACAUUUUACUAUGUUUGUUGUAAUACUUGAAAAUCUAAGAAAAAAUAGAACAAGAAUUUACAAUUCGCUUUGUUCAACACUUUUUUACUAUUGAUUCAUAUUUUUAACAGAGUACUACUCUAACUUAUCAAAAAUUUAAAGAAGAGAGUGUAAUAGGAGUUAAAAGAAUAAAAUAACGUGAAUAUUAGUGUAGAGAGUGUAAGAAAAUAAAAUAUUUUUUCUUAAUUUCUUCUAUUUAAAUGGGAUUAAAGAGAAUAAAAUAGUAUUUGUAAUAUAUAUAUAUAUAUAUAUAUAUAUUAUAAAUAAUUAUUUUUUUCUAUAAAAAAACAAACACAUAAUUUAUUCUUAGUAAAAAUUUAAGUCCCCUAAAAUUGGGGAACCUAAGGCAAAUGCCUUAUUCAAAUAAGCAUAGAGCCGGCCCUGUUUUCUAAUACAAAUAUAUAGUCUACGAGAAAGCUAUUGGGUUCGUCCUCUCCUAGUUAUGUCUCUGCCACCACUUAAAUUAUAAUAUGUGCCUCUACUCGAAGCGUCGUGUCCAUUAUAAUUACUAACGCGUUAUGGACUAGCUGUCACUUUGCAGUUUACACAGCUUCACUCCAAGUUUUUAGGCAUUUGUACAUUAUUUCAGUUCAACUUGGAAAAGAAUAAAAUUUUAAAUUACGGUCAUACAAAAUAAUAUGUACAGGUUUAAAUUUGUGAAAAUAACCCGAAAUGCACCUUCAAAUCAUAUUAUAUUUCAAUUGAAACUCAUUUCAGUGUAUAUUUUCAUAUGGUGUCGUAUUUCUUUUUGUUUACCCAUUAUACUUGUAAUUUCAAAAAACAAAUUAUAUCCUAUAACACCUAGCGGGGGAAUAAGUGAAAAAUCCUUGAAAACAAUUUCCUUGUAUAUUCCAAUUCCAAUUCCAAUUAAAUAUAUUGGCAGCUCCUUCAAUUAUACAUUAUUAUUAGCAUUUAGUAAAAAAUGAAAACAGAGCCUACUAAAUAAUUGGCUUCUCCAUGUUUAUGCUUAAUAGACUUUCUUCCAAGUCUUAUACAGUAUAUAAAAUGUAAAGCUAAUAAUUUUCUUAGGUGCGCAACUAAUAAGCCUUGGCCUAAUUGAACAUCUCUAAUUAAUUAAGCUGAAUUCCCAAAAUAUUGUUGAUUUGCAUUACCUGUCUUUGUUUGUAAACUAAAUCAAUUGAGUAAGGAAAACAAAAUUAGAAGGUAAUAUAGACAUAGCAAAAUAAUUUUAUCGUAUAUUAUCAUAAUCUGAAACAAAUGAAUGAAUCAACAAAUUGUAUCUUACAAAUCUAUGCUCAACUAUAUUAUAAAUAUCCUAUUAUGUAAAUUCUGUUUGUCUCUCUAGACCAAAGUGGAGCAUGAAGAUGUAGCAGGAUCAUAUAGAGCAGGAACCAAAUAUUUCCUUCCGUUUGUACCAUGUGCAUUGUAGCUUGCACCUGUUGUUUUAUCCACCAAUAAAUCUCCAGCGUAGCCUGGGUAAGCGCCCUUAGCGUAGACACCAGGGCAAGCAGAUGCAGCUUCCAACGGCGCAUCUUCUUCACCCUGGUAAUAACCGUUUCCAAAUGGGUUUGUGGCGGUUCCAGCUAAUAAGCUAGCUAAGUUGAUCACCAUACCGUCAACACCCACAUCGUUGUUUGGUGCACCCAAUGGUGGGCUUUGUGGUCCGUAGAUGGGCUGGUGGAAUGGCCAGGCGCAGUAACCAGGACACAGAGUCUCUGAGUUACCGACCCAGAUAUAAGCAAAUUUGUAAGUUUUGCCCUUAAUAACUGCA
This 28727-nucleotide long non-coding RNA is filed under the name Solanum tuberosum (potato). RNAcentral's name for it is "long non-coding RNA (STUB_LNC005139)". The record is from RNAcentral. Lineage: Eukaryota; Viridiplantae; Streptophyta; Magnoliopsida; Solanales; Solanaceae.